GACGAACGCUGGCGGCGUGCUUAACACAUGCAAGUCGAACGGAAAGGCCCUGCUUUUGUUGGUUGCUCGAGUGGCGAACGGGUGAGUAACACGUGAGUAACCUGUCCUUGUCUUUGGGAUAUCUUCAGGAAACUGGGGCUAAUACCGGAUAGGAGCUCCUGCUGCAUGGUGGGGGUUGGAAAGUGUCGGCGGUUGGGGAUGGACUCGCGGCUUAUCAGCUGGUUGGUGGGGUAGGGGCUUACCAAGGCUUUGACGGGUAGCCGGCCUGGGAGGGUGAACGGCCACAUUGGGACUGAGGUACGGAGCAGAAUCGUACGGGAGGCAGCAGUGGAGAAUAUUGCACAACGGGCGGAAGCCUGAGGCAGCGACGCCGCGUGCGGGAUGACGGCCUUUGGGGUGAAAACCGCUUUCGAAUGUAACGAAGCGUGAGUGACGGUAAUGGGUAAAGAAGCACCGGCUAACUACGUG
Molecule: ribosomal RNA, 468 nt
Filed under: uncultured bacterium
Lineage: Bacteria
Description: partial 16S ribosomal RNA
Rfam family: Bacterial small subunit ribosomal RNA
Source: RNAcentral